GGCGACGUGGCCAAGUGGUAAGGCAAGGGUCUGCAAAACCCUGACCACGGGUUCGAAUCCCGUCGUCGCCUCCU
Molecule: transfer RNA, 74 nt
Filed under: Anaerolineae bacterium
Lineage: Bacteria; Bacillati; Chloroflexota; Anaerolineae
Description: tRNA-Cys
Rfam family: tRNA
About the family: Transfer RNA (tRNA) molecules are approximately 80 nucleotides in length.
Source: RNAcentral